CCCUGACUCUUCAAAGCCCAAUAAAAUACGAAUAUAAAGGGAUUAUCCUUGAACAGGAAGAACUUAUAGACUGCGGUAUCAAUUAAAUUGAGAGAAGUGCAGUGAAUACUGAACUGGAGGCUGACCAACCUUUAAUUGCUGCUUUUCAGGUCGGGGUGGAAGAAGCUGUUGGAAUAACUGCGUUCCAGAUUGAGAUGGUCGGGAUGCGUGAGUCAGAACUGCUGAGCCUGUGGAGAGAGUUGCAGGGGCCAGAGAAGAAACUGAUAUCUCGAUUGCAGGAGGCUGAAGAGGCUGCAGGAGCAGUGCAGGCCACGUGUUUCCGUUUGGAGAAGAUCAAACAGCAGCUACCGAUCGCAGAAAUGAGGAAGAAUAAGGAUUCUAUGUGCUGGAUGUGUGUUAGACCUGUGGUGAGAGGUUAAUUGGAAGAAAAAAACCUAACUGGAAGCCAACCACGCCUGAAGACGAGGGAACAGCAACAAGUGAACCAGCCCGAGGACUGAAAGCAUAAACUGGAGAGAACAACUCUGAAUCAACUGACUCGGAGUUCUCAUUGAUUCAGCUGUGCAGUCCAACCAUUCACCUCAGAAGGAUUUUUUUAUAUGGCGUUAAAAUUGUGGAACGUUAAGUUAAUAAUACGUAAAAGAAAAUCCCAGAUGCACGUCAAGAAAGACUAUUUGUGUGAGACUGUUUCAGUUACUGUGGGGCCAGUCACCCAUGCAGCUCAGCAGGAACAGGGAAUCAUACCAAUGGAGAGAGUCAAACUGAGCCAAGGCACAGAUUGGAGACGGCAGAAAUGCCCCAGUCUUAUUUAAGACAGGAAGAUCAUCAGGGAAUUAAUGGUCAUUCCAGACACCAGCACUCUGCCCAGUCAGGAGAUGAUUUCUCUGUCCAACUCGGGUUCAACCUCAUUGUAACAGUGAGGAACAGCCAGAUCAAAAAUUGGCGACUCAAGUAAUCUCAUCUGAAAUGUUGUCCUACAGCCAUUGAUGGACGUUGUAAAUCAUUUUACAGGUUAAAAACGAGAAGGAAUUUGUCUCCAGGAAUCUCAAACACAGCCCGCCAGUUUUGCUGUCUCUGUCCAGAUAUUUAAGAAGUGGAGCGAGGGAUUCAAUCGACCAUCCUUCCUGCUCAGACUGUGGGGAGGGAUUUAUUCGGUCAUCCUUCCUGCUCAGAAUGAGGGAAGAGAUUCACUCGGUGAUCCGACCUACAGAGACACCAUCGAGUUCACACUGGGGAGAAGCCGUUCACCUGCUCAGUCUGUCGGAAGAGAUACACUGAUUCAUCCAGUCUACAGAGACAUCAGCGAGUUCACACUGGGGAGAAGCCAUUCACUUGUUCAGAAUGUGGGAAGCGAUUCACUCAAUCUUUCACCCUACGGAUACAUCAGCGUGUUCACAACGGGGAGAAGCCAUUCACUUGCUCAGUCUGUGGGAAGGGAUUCACUCAGUCAUCCCACUUACAGAGUCACUUGCGAGUUCACACUGGGGAGAAGCCAUUCACUUGCUCAGUCUGUGGGAAGAGAUUCACUCAGUCAUCCCACUCACAGAGUCACUUGCGAGUUCACACUGGGGAGAAGCCGUUCACCUGCUCAGAAUGUGGGAAGGGAUUCACUCAGUCAUCCCACCUCUUGGCACACCAGUCAGUUCACAGUAGGGAGAGGCCAUUGUUAUGAUUCCUUCGGUUUUGUUUGCUGUAGACUGUCAUUUUAAGAGAGAGAGAGAGAUUAAGAAGGAGAAUCAGUCUGACUUGCAGCUUGUUUACAUCGCGUGCAGCUUGUUUAGUUUUAACCGAGGACACAGACACUCAGAGUCAGACAGAGACGAAGGAGAAAAAAUGGAAGGAUCAAAACUAGGGAACUACUGACCAAGGGUCACUGAUUGCAACUUUCCUAUGCCCACAAGGAUGGGUUAAUUAUCGAUUCAUCGUACAUCGAAUGUGAGGUUGUUACCUCUUUUGAUCCGUAGGAGUAGAUCUGAUUUGGGGUAUCAUGUGAAGACCACUGAUGUGUUAACCCUUGCUUGGGUGUGGUGUGGUUAUUCACUUGAAGACGAUACCCCUUGUGACAAGACACUUUCGGUGAUAAUUCGUAUGUGGUUUUGGAACGACGACGGAUAAAACCUACAGCAAAUGUUGUCUUGUUUUACCAGCAUGGAACCUGUGGAAUUCGACAUAAUUGCCUUCCCUUGACAUUUAUCCUGGAUUUCAAAUAUCUCUCUCAUCACCUAUUCCGUGGAUGAACUGAACUUUCAUACUUUACCAUCGCAAGACUCCAAUGCUUGUUUCCCCCGAGCUCAAUAGAUUGGGAGUUUUAUUUACACACAUAUAUACACAUAACACUGUUAGCUUUUGCUUGUCUUGUUUAAAUUACUAUUUUACGAGUAGAUUCUA
Long non-coding RNA from Hypanus sabinus (Atlantic stingray), 2388 nucleotides. RefSeq lists it as uncharacterized. The transcript is spliced from 3 exons. The record is from RefSeq and is a predicted model, not a curated record. Lineage: Eukaryota; Metazoa; Chordata; Chondrichthyes; Myliobatiformes; Dasyatidae.